UCUAAUCCUAUUUUUUUAUAUUUCUUUCCAUUUUCACAAGUUAUUAGAGUUAUAAAUUGACCAAUCGGAUGGCUCAAUGGUGGCUCAAUGGCAAUAUACAUUUUCUAGAGUUUCCGAGUGGUUUUGAAAGACACCUAAUGAAAAUUCAAGGGGUUAGGUGUCAACUUUGUAUGCUUUCAACUCUGUUUCAAAAUGUACACAACCUCAUGAUAUUUUAAAUAUUGCUUCCAUUUGGAUUAACUGUGUAUCUUAAGACUGACAUAAUUUCUAUGUGUCCAGAGAAUGUGGAUUUUCCGAAAAUGUGAUGUUUCUAUAUACUUUGUGCCACACAAGAGAUGCAAUGGAGAAGGCGGGUAUUUGGAAGGCCGUUUUAGUAUUGUUUUGUUGUGCAUAUGUGUUCAUGUAGGUGUGUGUGGGCGUAUGCAUGCAUGUGUGUCUGUAAGCGUGUGUGUGCAUGUGCGUGUAGUUGUGCAUGGGUGUGACUUUGAAUGGGUGUGACUUGGAAUAUGGAUGUAACUAUUACUGCGUUUGUAUGCAACAUUCUACUGUUGCCACUGUGAUUUCUACAGUUGUUCUGUGUGUAGUGGUUAGCAGAACUAAUACAUAAAUGUGUUUAAAAAGGUGCAUAAAUGAAUGGUGUGCAUAAAGAAGUGAUUGUAAUUAGAAUGAAUGAAAAAGAAUGGUUUGUCUGUUUCAUUUACAUUCAACUGUUUGGGAAUUCAACCCUUCUCCCUCAUGUCAGUGGGAAAGUACUUUUCGUGGGAACGAAAUGAAUAUGAGCGGUGAGCUAGUUUUUCCUUGUCCUUAAGACUUUAACGAGUGAAAUCUUGAAAUCUAUAACACAGGAGAUAAGUCAUUCAAAACCUACCAUUUUAUUGACACAGGCUGUAUUGCGGUACAGUGUUAGUGCCCUUGUCUUCUUGUUUGAGUGUUGUGUUUUUUAACAUCUGAAUAAAUGUUUUUGUCACUAUGAUGGUUUUUAUUUUGUAGAUUUUUAUUUUUAUUUUAUGUAUUUUAUUACUCUUUAAUAAUAAUUUUAACCAGGAAAGUCCUGUUGAGAUUAAAAAUCUCUUUUUCAAAGGAACCUUAGGGGUCACAUACACAUAUACACCAAAAUACAAUCAGCAAUAAAUAAAUAUAAAGUUCACAGUGGUCAGUGAGAGGCUUACAGUUUAUGAUGAAUCGUAGAGGAGAGUGAUAGACAGAGUCCAGAAGUUUCAACACUUGAUUUGGGGCAUUCAUAUAGAUAAAAUCUCCAUAGUCUAAAAUUUAUUUAAAAAAAUAUAAUAAAUUGUGGUCUCAACUUGUUUGUUCCUUGCAUUACAAGAGAGACAUAACCUGUUCAUAACCUUUGCAAUAGUGAUUUAGCUGCUUCCAGGAGCACACAUCCAGACUACGCUUGGGAGGGGAGGGAGAUUGCAGGAAUGCCGAGGUCAAGGAGGGAUGAACAGUAGUUUUUGUCUCCAUACGUAGUUGAGAGCAAAAACAGCAGCUCACAGGAGGGGAGGAGAGAGAAAAAGUGCGUCUGUCCUUGGCAAGAGCCAAACACGAAUGUAUACUGUUUGUGGUGUGGUUUCAUUGUUUCUUUAACAGGUUCAACACAAUUUUUGUGAUUAUGUGUGCUAAUUGUGUGGAUUGGAAUUUUUGAGGGUGCGACGGUAGAGUGUGGGCCAUCAAAAGUAAAGUUAAGUUAUUGAAGUGAGGCUCCUGUGAUAAACACAGAAUUAUUGUAGGAUUUUUUUUCCACACCUUUUUAAAAGAAAAAGGACAUUUUAAUCAAUUAGUUGCGAGUAUUUGCUGUAUUUGUUUUGGUUAAUUCUCCCUUUAAAGAAGUGACAUCAUGUGAAGUGUGAAAAGUAGCAUUUCUAAGUAAAUCUGAAGUUGGUGUUUGUUUUUUGAUGCAAAACUAUUUUAUUUCACAGUUUUUAUUUGUACUCAUUUUUUCACUGUGUAGCAGUAAAUAUUUUUUUAUUCAGAAGCAAAGAUUAGAAAUGAAAAAAAUGCAUAUAUUGGUAGGAGUGAUCAAGAGAUACGUCAACUCCAUAUCACUUGCAGGAGCAGAAAUAUUCUUAAUAUAUGCAUAAUCAUGCUCACUUGUUCUUAGCUGCGAUCUACAAAACAGUUAACUAUGUAUUCUGUUUAUGUAUUUUAUGUUGACACAAUAUUUGAAUUAUACAAACUGUUGAUACACACUAUUUGAACUCUUAUAAACAAAUGAAUACCUUUUCAAAGUGCCAUUGUUAUUUCCUCAAAACUUAUAAUAAACAACAUUGUGAUGUAAAUGUUGACAACGUCUGUUGUUGUAAAAUAAGGGCUACAUAAGAAUGAUGAAUUGUUUUUAAGGCGGCAUUACUCAAAAUACUAAAUUUAAGUGUGUCUUUACUGUCAUUAUUAAUUUUUACAGCCAGAGAAAAAAAUAUUUUACAUUUGAAAGUAGUUUUAUUUUGAAAGGAACACUCGAUAUAUACGUCAUAUCCCGUUUGCCACGGCACUUAUGCUUAGCUCUGGCUAGCAUGCACGUUGGAUUUGCUCGUGGCUAACAGCUGACGAUUGCAAACUACGUGUCUCCGCGUCUACGGUGAAUUUCACCGUAGGAACGUGUGUGUACUCGAAGCGGCUGCUUGUUCGAGAAGCCUUCUAAAGAACUUCUCAAGUUGACAUCAGCCCUUGUGUGGCAGCAUAUUUGCCUUUGGUGAGUACAAUUAAACAUC
Long non-coding RNA from Oryzias melastigma (Indian medaka), 2711 nucleotides. RefSeq lists it as uncharacterized. Lineage: Eukaryota; Metazoa; Chordata; Actinopteri; Beloniformes; Adrianichthyidae. The record is from RefSeq and is a predicted model, not a curated record. The transcript has 3 exons.